ACUAAUUCAAAGCAAGUAAUAACUGAUGGUGUAUCAACUUUUGAAAUAAGGGCUCGAGGGUAAGACUAAAAUGAUAGAUGUUGAAAUUAUCCUAUUAGCAUGUACAUUGAUGCAAAAGGGGCUAGUAAACUUCUCUUUCUAUAUUAAGUUUUAAAUAGUUCUGAAGAUCAUCCCAAAAAUUGUAUCAGAAACUUCAGUUUCCAGAUACUCAAAACUUGGAUAUUGGUAGUUAAAGCACUUUAUAUGCAGUCUUCAACACUCUUAAGUCCUUCUGCCAGCCAGGUUUUUUUUCUAAAGUAUUUUACUCUGUACCUGCAGAUAUUCUACCAAAAGCGUAUAUAACUAUAUUUUUGUAGAGUAUUUUCUGGUUCUUCUCUACUGCAGUAUUCACAUUCUGUAGGCUAUAUAUAUUGUUUCUCCUCUCGAAGUGAAAACAAAAAGUCUGAUGAGGGAAUUUCUUCCUCCUGUAUUGCUGGAGGCAUGAAAUGCUAAUAUAGGUGAGGAAAAGUUUGGAUAUCUGAAAAAGUUGGAUAAUGGAGUAUCCAUUUAAGUUCAUUCUGGAAUUUAUCUACAUAUUAUAAAAGCCUGUGAUUUAGGUGAGAAGUUGGGCUAGCUCCUAGCUUAGUAAUACAAUACUGUGUCCCCAAUCCAAGUGCUCUUUGUACAUAGUUGUACAUUAUGAGCCUACAGCUUAGCAUGUGUGCUUGCAGAGAGAUUGCUGGCACUGAUCAUGGUGAAUUCCUCCCCCUCCCCUUUUACCUCAUAGAGUAGCCUUUGGAAGGCCUGAUCCAGCAGACAACCCACAGGCAGGAAGUUUCCAUCUGCCUGUCACAUCACCCUUGCUGGACUUGGAUGCAAUACUUUUAUUUGAAUGUUAGAAAUAGUGAUUUUAAAUUUAUAGUAGGAAGUGGACUACCUUUAAUGUCCCAUGGAGUUUAUAGAAAACUUUCUGCUAGGUUUUAAAACAAGUGUUUUCAGGAGUUCAUAAACAUGUGACUCAUUGGAUACUUGAGGACAUUAACUGUUUCUUAGGUAGGCUCUCUUGUUAAAUGUUUUCUAACAUCAGAGAAAUGGAUGUCUAUGUUGAGUCACAAAUAUAGGAGGCAAAAAUAAUUCUGUGAAUUGGCUUUUGAAAUUGCUUUUGGUUGAAAAGUCACAAUGCACAGUAUGCUUCCUGAAUGUUUGGUAGCUGUUUUAAUCUUAAAAGGGAACAAAGUUAAAAGCCUCUACAUUAGUGCUUAAGUGAUCUCUCUGAAUAAUAGAAUUGCUGUAAAGCAGACCAGCCCCCACCCAUCAUUAUUUGAUGAAACUUUCUCUGUUUAUGGUUUUUUAAAAAGAGGUUCUCUUUAACUAUUCGGCCCAUUGUGUUUGAAGUGUGAUGCUCGUGAUGUCUGGAUAUACGGCAAAGGUAUAGGGCUAAAAGGUUUUCCUCUGUGAAAAACUGGUUGGCACCUACCUGAAACGUAGAUCUAUGAAGUUUGAGUGAGUCUGUGAGGUUGGGUUUUAGGACCCACCAGUGCAGCAAAGGCAAGACAAAUGUCUUAGGAAGGGGGCGGAGCUCCCAGCAUUCCUCAGUCUAUGGACUCACGAAGUGGAAAGCAGGCACUAAAAUUCAAAUGGUUAUGAAAUAGAACAGUAACAAGGACAAACAUACAAUCGUCCCUCCCCAAAAGUAGAACCGCAACAGGAGUAAAUUUACCUUGAAAGCAAGGCUUGAUAAUUAUGCAACCAACCUAAUCCCAACAAGGUGAUACUUCCAAUCAACUCUCAAAUUUUAUUACACGCAUUGAAUAUGGGUGUGGCCCUUAACUAGCUCACUCACACAAUUGAGACCUGUGUUUCAGGCAGGUGCAAAUUGCACCCAUAGCGGGAGUGAGCCUGUCUGGUUGGGACAUAAAAUGGCUAAUCCCAAUUUGGGCAGGACCCUGACAAUUAAUCUGGGAAGAUCUGCUGAAGGACAGCCUCAACCUCAGCUGAGACAUGCUUGUCAAUUUACUAUAAAAUUGACAUACUUUUAAAUGACAUACUUGUCAAUUUUAUAGUGUUUGACAAAAGGUUUUGGGGGCUAUGCUCGUAGCUGCUUUACAGAUAUCCUCUAAAGGAGCAUUGGUGGAAAGGCUGCAGCCCUUGUGGAAUACGUUGCCACAUUUUUUGGUAUUGGAAUCUUUUGAAUUUUGUAUGCAAAGACAAUGCAAGCCUUAGUCCACCUAGCAAGGAUGGAUGUGGAAACCCUGUGCCCCAGAGUGGGCAGCUGAAAGGACACAAAAAGGGAAUCGGUCUGCCUCAAAUCUCUGCUUCUUACUGCAGGUCUUUCCCUCUUCUGCCUCCUUGUCUGUUCAAAUAUGAUUUGACUGUAGCAUUGUCUAUGCACAAAAUGAUGUGAGUAAGGCAAAACUGAGGGGAGAUGUGCUGAAUCACCAGGUAGGCUGCUGUGAGUUUGAGCUAGUUGACACCCCCCACCCCAAAAUAGGCUACCUUCACAGGAGACCACAGGGCCUGAAUUGAAAGAUGUUGACAGAGACCCAGCCCAGCAGGCUGUCAUCCAAUGUGAUGAUGGCUCGAGUUGGAUCUUCCAAGGGGAGUGCCUUUACGUAGGUUGUGGCUAUUUGUCCGCCAGCAUGUGGCCAGGCAGAGAUGAUGUGGAAUCGUGAUGUGAUGCUGUCUUCCUGCUGUCACCAGUCACUGGUGAGUGCUUCUAAGGCAGUAGCACCCACUGUGAUGGCUUGGCAUGGAGCUUUGCCCAAGGUGGUGCUUGUGAUACUGAUAUGCACACCCAAAGGCAUGGGACAGCUGCGUAAUGACCACUUUUUUUUGCUGUUAAGGGACUUCUGGUGGCUGCUUUAAUUCAGAUUACUCUGUCCAGUGCACAGGGUGAAAUCUAGGCAUGUCUCAGUGGCAUCUCCAAAUUGUGCUUGACCAUCUUUCAGGUGUAAAGUGUGGCAGAGUAGAUUAGCAACAGGAAGGUACUUUCAGCAGUUCUGUAAUGUCAAGUUGUAGAACAUAAAACUUGUUAGCCAAAACAAGCAAAUUUUUUGUACUUCAGCAGAGAGUUCCACUCAUCCUUGGUCACAGAUGUAAAUGGAGCAGGAACUGGACUAUAUCUAGUCACUGGCUUUGGGUCAGGUAACUUGGUCACACCUGUGAGAGGUGCAGACAGCUCUUCAACUAGAUUUAUCAUUAUCAUUGUUUAUUUGUAUGCUGCCUAUCCAUAGUUAAAACCAUUCUCAAAGCAGUUUACAUGAAAAUAAUUACAUAACUGCAAACAUAACAAAAGUAGCCAUGAGUGAUAAAUAAAAUGUACACAACAUGAUCAAAAGAUACAAAAAAAAAAAAUCAGUACAGAGGUACCUCGGGUUACAGACGCUUCAGGUUACAUACGCUUCAGGUUACAGACUCCUCUAACCCAGAAAUAGUACCUCGGGUUAAGAACUUUGAUUCAGGAUGAGAACAGAAAUUGUGCGGCGGUGGCAGCAGCGGGAGGCCCCAUUAGCUAAAGUGGUACCUCAAGUUAAGAACUGUUUCAGGUUAAGAACGGACCUCUGGAUCGAAUUAAGUUCUUAACCAGAGGUACCACUGUAUCAAAAACAGCAAAAUCAAUAUCUCAAAAAUUAAAUCUUGACCCCCCC
Long non-coding RNA from Podarcis raffonei (Aeolian wall lizard), 3626 nucleotides. RefSeq lists it as uncharacterized. Lineage: Eukaryota; Metazoa; Chordata; Lepidosauria; Squamata; Lacertidae. The transcript is spliced from 2 exons. The record is from RefSeq and is a predicted model, not a curated record.